Molecule: ribosomal RNA, 460 nt
Filed under: uncultured bacterium
Lineage: Bacteria
Description: partial 16S ribosomal RNA
Rfam family: Bacterial small subunit ribosomal RNA
Source: RNAcentral
CCUACGGGAGGCUGCAGUGAGGAAUAUUGGUCAAUGGACGAGAGUCUGAACCAGCCAAGUAGCGUGAAGGAUGACUGCCCUAUGGGUUGUAAACUUCUUUUAUAUGGGAAUAAAAUGUUCCACGUGUGGGAUUUUGUAUGUACCAUAUGAAUAAGGAUCGGCUAACUCCGUGCCAGCAGCCGCGGUAAUACGGAGGAUCCGAGCGUUAUCCGGAUUUAUUGGGUUUAAAGGGAGCGUAGGUGGAUUGUUAAGUCAGUUGUGAAAGUUUGCGGCUCAACCGUAAAAUUGCAGUUGAAACUGGCAGUCUUGAGUACAGGAGAGGUGGGCGGAAGUCGUGGUGUAGCGGUGAAAUGCUUAGAUAUCACGAAGAACUCCGAUUGCGAAGGCAGUUCACUGGACUGCAACUGACACUGAGGCUCGAAAGUGUGGGUAUCAAACAGGAUUAGAUACCCCUGUAGUC